RNAcentral lists this RNase P RNA (331 nucleotides) under Ideonella paludis. RNAcentral's name for it is "RNase P RNA component class A". It matches the Rfam family "Bacterial RNase P class A". Rfam says of the family: Ribonuclease P (RNase P) is a ubiquitous endoribonuclease, found in archaea, bacteria and eukarya as well as chloroplasts and mitochondria. Its best characterised activity is the generation of mature 5'-ends of tRNAs by cleaving the 5'-leader elements of precursor-tRNAs. The record is from RNAcentral. Lineage: Bacteria; Pseudomonadati; Pseudomonadota; Betaproteobacteria; Burkholderiales; Sphaerotilaceae.
GGAGCAGGCCAGACCGCCGCCUGUGCAAGUGCCGAAAGGCCGCAUGGGAGGAAGGUCCGGACUGCACAGAGCAGCGUAGCGGGUAACGCCCGUCCACCGUAAGGUGCGGAUCAGAGCCACAGAGACGAGCCGGUUAAGUCCGGGUGAAACGCGGCAAUCUCUACGCGCAGCAACACCAAAUAGGCCAGCAUUGAAGCGGCUCGCUGAGCUGGCGGGUAGGUGGCAUUGAGCAGGGGUGGUAACACCCCAGCCCAGAGGAAUGGCGGUCACGCGGCAGGCUUCGCAAGAAGCCUGCUGUGCACAGAAUCCGGCCUAUCGGCUUGCUCCACAC